GUCUAUCUAUCGUAUAUAGACUUUAAGGGCGUGGUUGCCUAACCAUCGAGGUGAAGUCGGGACCUAAAAGAUCGAAUGGAACAAUAUAUAGGCAAGUAAAUCCCUUAUGCGUUCCAAGGCAUUCCUUUAAUUAUUAAGAGUUAAGGGAUUUAUCAUUCAAAGGGAAGUAGACUACUCAAGAAUUUUCUAUUUUAUUUGUUGGAAUUGAAUUUGAAUNNNN
This 220-nucleotide long non-coding RNA is filed under the name Nicotiana benthamiana. RNAcentral describes it as "long non-coding RNA (NBEN_LNC020844)". The record is from RNAcentral. Lineage: Eukaryota; Viridiplantae; Streptophyta; Magnoliopsida; Solanales; Solanaceae.